AUGACUGAACUUGUUCACUAUAUUUUGUCUCUAAUUUCAACAGAAUGUAAGUGCAGAUUGUUCUGUGGCCCUGAUAUAAUGCAUAAUGUAUGUGUUCUGUGUUUAGGUUUAAUCUUAAAAAUGGAACAGUACACAUCAUACAUAGAAUGUGAGACUUCUAAAGUGCCUUUAUCUGAUAUUGCUCAGAGGAUUAUGACAGCUUUGCAGUCUAUUCCUGUAGAAGUUCAGGCUAGCAGGAAGAAUAACCAGAGUGUAGAGACGACAGAGGACAAUAAACUAGGUGAUAAGGAUGCACAUGUGAAAAGUGAAAAGGCAAGCAUUCUUUAAGAUGGAAGAUCACUAACAGCAGGGGCAGUGGGGAGGGAGAUAGGUCUGGGAGUAAAAAAAAUGAAAAAUCAUAGAUGUAAGAGAUCACUACAGUUCUUCAUGGUGGUUGUGCUGCUUUCCAGGGCUGUUAGCAGCACUGUUCAGUCUUCUCCAGACUUGCUAAUGGCACAUGAUUUUUUCUAUUCUGUGGGUGUUGCUUUUAUGAUUAAUCUCCUAAUUUUUGGGUUUGCAGCACUGUAAAUCAGUCUAAGCCUUGCCACCUGUUCCUUCUUUUCUGCUUUUCAUUGGUUUUCAUUUUGGUCCUUCCAUAGGCUGGUACUUGUCAUUACAUAACCAUAAAGUGUACUUCUCAUGUGAAAAAUUACUUUGUAUUGGGAAGUUUAAUUUUUGGUUCUAUCAUCUCUCUGAAUUGGGUUUAAUGUGCCAGUACAAGAAUGGGAAUGGAUAACUGGAACAGCCCCAACUCAGACGUGAUUUUAAGAUCCAUUGAGUUGAUCAAAGAGUUGCAGAUACUGCUGGUGUACUUCUGUCCCAGCCCCAAAUUUCACAGCUUUCCUUACUCUGACUCUGGUGCAUGUUGCACACUUCAGCAAGUCUAUUCAAGUUGCUCAAGAUGCCGAAAACGGUUUGGUUUCUUUUGUGGGGUGGGAUAGUUUCCUGCAAAUUAAAUUGACUCAUGGGUAGACUUGCAGCUGUGGGUGCACAUGGAUAGUAGUGGAACCCCUUUAUGUGUUGAUGAGGUGCAAAUUUUGAACUCCGCUGCAUCCACAUAAAUUAUUCUACAUCCUGGGAGUUGCUUUCUCUACUUCCAGCCAUGUCAUUAUUUCUAGUAGAAGAUGACUUCUUCCUGGAAGCUGCUGCUUCUCUGUGUGGUUAAUUGUAGUUCCAGCUGUAUUAUUCUGACUUGAUAAUUAAAUUGCUUCAUUCUUAUUUUUGAACCUUUAAAAGAGAAUUGCUUAUUGCUGAUUCUAUAAUUACUUGAGUGUCCUAAUUCAAAUUCUGCUGUGUUAAACAAUAAAACUACUUGCAAUUUGACUGGAGAAUACA
RNAcentral lists this long non-coding RNA (1374 nucleotides) under Calidris pygmaea (Spoon-billed sandpiper). RNAcentral describes it as "lncRNA (ENSCPGG00000009244.1)". The record is from RNAcentral. Lineage: Eukaryota; Metazoa; Chordata; Aves; Charadriiformes; Scolopacidae.